AUGACCUUCAUGCACUAUAUAUAGAAGUUUUGGAACAAUACAGAGAAAAUGAGCAUGGCCUCUGUGAAAACAUGGAAUGGAAAUUCUUGAGAUAAAGUACACUUGA
Small nuclear RNA from Rana temporaria (common frog), 106 nucleotides. The record is from RefSeq and is a predicted model, not a curated record. NCBI's taxonomy places the organism in Eukaryota, Metazoa, Chordata, Amphibia, Anura, Ranidae.